GAGUUUGAUCCUGGCUCAGGACGAACGCUGGCGGCGUGCUUAACACAUGCAAGUCGACGGUGAUUGUAAUUAGUGGCGGACGGGUGAGUAACGCGUGAGAGCUGUCCUAUGCAGGGGGACAACAGCUGGAAACGGCUGCUAAUACCCCAUAAGCCGAGAGGUAAAAGGAUAAGGCAGAGGAGGUACUCGCGUCCUAUCAGCUAGUAGGUGAGGUAACGGCUCACCUAGGCGAAGACGGGUAGCCGGCCUGAGAGGGCGAACGGCCACACUGGAACUGAGAUACGGUCCAGACUCCUACGGGAGGCAGCAGUGGGGAAUAUUGGGCAAUGGGGGAAACCCUGACCCAGCGACGCCGCGUGGGUGAAGAAAUCCUUCGGGAUGUAAAGCCCUGUUGUAUGGGAAGAGAGACGGUACCAUACGAGGAAGCCCCGGCAAACUACGUGCCAGCAGCCGCGGUAAUACGUAGGGGGCAAGCGUUGUCCGGAAUUACUGGGCGUAAAGCGCACGCAGGCUGACUUAUAAGUCGGUAGUCUAAUGCGGAGGCUCAACUUCCGUUUAUCUAUCGAUACUGUAAGACUAGAGUAUGUGAGAGGGAAGCGGAACUCCCGGUGUAGCGGUGAAAUGCGUAGAUAUCGGGAGGAACACCAGUGGCGAAGGCGGCUUCCUGGCACAAUACUGACGCUCAUGUGCGAAAGCUAGGGAGCGAACGGGAUUAGAUACCCCGGUAGUCCUAGCCGUAAACGAUGGAUACUAGGUGUGGGUGUCGCAGGGCAUCCGUGCCGCAGUUAACGCGUUAAGUAUCCCGCCUGGGGACUACGGUCGCAAGACUGAAACUCAAAGGAAUUGACGGGGGCCCGCACAAGCGGUGGAUGAUGUGGAUUAAUUCGAUGCAACGCGAAAAACCUUACCUACCCUUGACAUUCCAGAACCUGAAGAGAUUUGGGGUGCCAAAGGAAUUGGACACAGGUGCUGCAUGGCUGUCGUCAGCUCGUGUCGUGAGAUGUUGGGUUAAGUCCCGCAACGAGCGCAACCCUUAUCAUUAGUUGUACGAAGGGCACUCUAAUGAGACUGCCGGUGACAAACCGAGGAAGGUGGGGAUGACGUCAAGUCCUCAUGGCCCUUAUGGGUAGGGCUUCACACGUCAUACAAUGGUCGGUACAGAGGGUUGCCAAGCCGCGAGGUGGUGCCAAUCCCAGAAAGCCAUCGUAGUCCGGAUUAUUCUCUGCAACUCGAGAGCAUGAAGUCGGAAUCGCUAGUAAUCGCGGAUCAGAUGUCGCGGUGAAUACGUUCCCGGGUCUUGUACACACCGCCCGUCACACCAUGGGAGUGGAAUCUGGCAGAAGUAGGUAGCCUAACCGCAAGGAGGGCGCUUACCACGCUGGGUUUCAUGACUGGGGUGAAGUCGUAACAAGGUAGCCGUAGGGGAACCUGCGGCUGGAUCACCU
RNAcentral lists this ribosomal RNA (1445 nucleotides) under uncultured bacterium. Its description in RNAcentral is "bacterial SSU rRNA". It matches the Rfam family "Bacterial small subunit ribosomal RNA". The record is from RNAcentral.